UCUGUAGGUGGUUUAAUAAGUCAACUGUUAAAUCUCGAGGCUCAACUUCGAAACCGCAGUCGAAACUAUUAGACUAGAGUAUAGUAGGGGUAAAGGGAAUUUCCAGUGGAGCGGUGAAGUGCGUAGAGAUUGGAAAGAACACCGAUGGCGAAGGCACUUUACUGGGCUAUUACUAACACUGAGAGACGAAAGCUAGGGUAGCAAAUG
This 207-nucleotide ribosomal RNA is filed under the name uncultured bacterium. RNAcentral's name for it is "partial 16S ribosomal RNA". It matches the Rfam family "Bacterial small subunit ribosomal RNA", at positions 568 to 774 of the family's 1533-position model. The record is from RNAcentral.